This 253-nucleotide ribosomal RNA is filed under the name uncultured bacterium. RNAcentral's name for it is "partial 16S ribosomal RNA". It matches the Rfam family "Bacterial small subunit ribosomal RNA", at positions 524 to 776 of the family's 1533-position model. The record is from RNAcentral.
UACAGAGGUCCCAAGCGUUGUUCGGAUUCACUGGGCGUAAAGGGUGCGCAGGUGGGCUUGCAAGUUCGAUGUGAAAGCCCCGGGCUUAACCCGGGAAUGGCAUUGGAUACUGCAGAUCUGGAGGAUCGGAGGGGGGACUGGAAUUCUUGGUGUAGCAGUGAAAUGCGUAGAUAUCAAGAGGAACACCAGUGGCGAAGGCGAGUCCCUGGACGAUACCUGACACUGAGGCACGAAAGCCGGGGGAGCAAACAGG